GGGUGGGAACUCCAGGGAGACUGCCGGUGAUAAACCGGAGGAAGGUGGGGACGACGUCAAGUCAUCAUGGCCCUUACGAGUAGGGCUACACACGUGCUACAAUGGCGCAUACAGAGGGGGGCCACCCAGCGAGAG
This 135-nucleotide ribosomal RNA is filed under the name uncultured bacterium. Its description in RNAcentral is "partial 16S ribosomal RNA". It matches the Rfam family "Bacterial small subunit ribosomal RNA", at positions 1129 to 1263 of the family's 1533-position model. The record is from RNAcentral.